Molecule: ribosomal RNA, 253 nt
Filed under: uncultured bacterium
Lineage: Bacteria
Description: partial 16S ribosomal RNA
Rfam family: Bacterial small subunit ribosomal RNA
Source: RNAcentral
UACGUAUGGGGCAAGCGUUGUCCGGAAUUAUUGGGCGUAAAGGAUGCGUAGGUGGAUAUUUAAGUGGGAUGUGAAAUCCCCGGGCUCAACCCGGGAACUGCAUUCCAUACUGGAUGUCUAGAGUGCAGGAGAGGAAAGCGGAAUUCCUAGUGUAGCGGUGAAAUGCGUAGAUAUUAGGAGGAACACCAGUGGCGAAGGCGGCGACCUGGAUAAGCACUGACACUCAACUGCGAAAGCGUGGGGAGCAAACAGG